GUGCUUGCUUCAGCAGCACAUAUACUAAAAUUGGAAUGAUAUAGACAAAAUAAGCAUGGCCCCUGCGCAGGGAUGACAUACAAAUGUGUGAAGCAUUCCAUAUUUUU
This is a small nuclear RNA of Piliocolobus tephrosceles (Ugandan red Colobus), 107 nucleotides long. The record is from Ensembl. NCBI's taxonomy places the organism in Eukaryota, Metazoa, Chordata, Mammalia, Primates, Cercopithecidae.